Molecule: ribosomal RNA, 549 nt
Filed under: uncultured bacterium
Lineage: Bacteria
Description: bacterial SSU rRNA
Rfam family: Bacterial small subunit ribosomal RNA
Source: RNAcentral
GGGGGAUCUUCCGCAAUGGACGAAAGUCUGACGGAGCAACGCCGCGUGAGUGAUGACGGCCUUCGGGUUGUAAAGCUCUGUUAAUCGGGACGAAUGGUUCUUGUGCGAAUAGUGCGAGGAUUUGACGGUACCGGAAUAGAAAGCCACGGCUAACUACGUGCCAGCAGCCGCGGUAAUACGUAGGUGGCAAGCGUUGUCCGGAAUUAUUGGGCGUAAAGCGCGCGCAGGCGGAUUGGUCAGUCUGUCUUAAAAGUUCGGGGCUUAACCCCGUGAUGGGAUGGAAACUGCCAAUCUAGAGUAUCGGAGAGGAAAGUGGAAUUCCUAGUGUAGCGGUGAAAUGCGUAGAUAUUAGGAAGAACACCAGUGGCGAAGGCGACUUUCUGGACGAAAACUGACGCUGAGGCGCGAAAGCCAGGGGAGCGAACGGGAUUAGAUACCCCGGUAGUCCUGGCCGUAAACGAUGGGUACUAGGUGUAGGAGGUAUCGACCCCUUCUGUGCCGGAGUUAACGCAAUAAGUACCCCGCCUGGGGAGUACGACCGCAAGGUUG